UAUACAACUAUCCCCCACACCCAAAAGCUUAAGGCCCGUAUCCGUACCCCUUCAUUCCACAGUAGACUAAUAGUUGACAACUACUUAUCAAAGCACACAAACGAAGAACAUGUUUAAUAUUCUUUGCGGACACCCCAUAAAACUUGGCUAAUACCCGGGUUCAGUCUUUUUUAUGACAUUUCCUCAGCCCGGGUGAGAAAGCCCUGUUUGUUCUGGGAGAAAUUUCGCCCGCUAAAAGAAACUGCAAAUAAAGUUGACCGAAAUGUUUAUGGCACUAUGGAGGAGAGGGAGGAGCUACAGAGGGCUGGAAGAGCCAAAAGUUCCCCCAGAAAGAAAGUUCCAGGCCCGGCGAGAAUUGACCCAAAUUGAUAAACUGAAACUGUUGAGGCCAAGAGAGACAAUCUCUUGGGUUUUGAAAGCCAUCGAAUUUGGUUUUGGGAACAUCGAACACUAAAAGAAAAAGGCCGCCAAUCGAGCUUAACCCUGCAGUUCAAACGGAUCUCGGCUGUUGCAUUUAUCUUAUUUUGCAAAAGAUAUUGCAUUGCCGGCAGAAAACAAUGUGCAACCAAAGUGGGGCAACACCGCGGGACUUGGGUAACCCAGCUAAAAAUGAAGUAGAUGCUCCAACAGUGCAACAGAUCUCUUCCUCCGAUCUCCGCCACACUUGGCUGACUUUGCCGAGUUCAACCUUUGAGUUCAGGCCGCCGUAGGGCUCAUCUUUGACACAAUUCUCGAGCGAUUUUGGCCCUGAAAGCAAUUGACAUUUGACACCCCAUUAAGUGCCACUUUGUGGCCAGGUAAUACUAUGUACUGCGCCCAAAAGAACAUACCCCAAAAGUUUAUAAUCUGCCCUCGAACUGGGUCACCCACAAUUUGUUUUCGUUUUUAUUUUUCGCUUUUUCCCCUUUUACGCUCUCUAAAUGUUUUGAUUCUGCCAGCCACGGCUGCGCUUUAAUUAAAUCAAGCAGCCAUUCGGAUGGAUCCCUUCCUGCCCCUCGUCACGACCAUUUCUCUGGCGGUCUCUGAUUCCGCUGCCCUGUGGCCAAUGACUUUCGCUUUGCCUCGGGCGGAUAAAAUCUAGUUUGUUUACAAAUUUUAUUUAUUUUCUGCAUUAGUUAUGCAUUCUACAAAAAAUCGUUCAAAAUGAAUCAUUCUCAAAUAAAUUGGAGAAGCUCGAAAAAUCCCCUACCUAAAGUCGAGAUGGAGAGGGUUAGUCUAAAAAACAGGCUUGGGAGGCGUUUAAAAUGACUUGGAAUUAAUAAAUUAUAUACCUUUGUUUAUUUUUCUUUCCUUUCAAAUUAAAAUGUUUCUUAGAAUAUAUUUAUUAUUCAAAUUGUUAACAUAAGUCAAGUAAGAAAAACCAUUUCCUAAUACAAUUCAAGCUAAAGCUCAAUCAUGUUUAACACGAAAGAACUGAUCUAAAUUGCAUUUGACACAGUUAUGUUCUGGUCUUGCUGAGCCAGAGAACUAUGCUUAAGAAAUUCCAAUUAAAACAAAACUCCCAAACAAAA
Molecule: long non-coding RNA, 1511 nt
Organism: Drosophila ananassae
Lineage: Eukaryota; Metazoa; Arthropoda; Insecta; Diptera; Drosophilidae
Exons: 2
Source: RefSeq, a predicted model, not a curated record